AAAGCUCCUACUCUGUCUGACCUGACAAGCCACCUCAAGUGGACAAGGCACUUACCAACAGAGAUUGCUGAUUUGCACCUGAAACAAGAGAUUCACUGCUGCUAAGCAUGGCUCAGACCAACUCAUUCUUCAUGCUGAUCUCCUCCCUGAUGUUCCUGUCUCUGAGCCAAGGCCAGGAGUCCCAGACAGAGCUGCCUAAUCCCCGAAUCAGCUGCCCAGAAGGCACCAAUGCCUAUCACUCCUACUGCUACUACUUUAAUGAAGACCCUGAGACCUGGGUUGAUGCAGAUCUCUACUGCCAGAACAUGAAUUCAGGCAACCUGGUGUCUGUGCUCACCCAGGCGGAGGGUGCCUUCGUGGCCUCACUGAUUAAGGAGAGUAGCACUGAUGACAGCAAUGUCUGGAUUGGCCUCCAUGACCCCAAAAAGGUCAGUCUGCAGCCUCCUCUAUCUCCUUAUAAACAUUUUUGAGAGGUAAGAGGGACGUUUAAGGUCUGGCACCUCGAACGCCAACUUUUAUCUUUUUGUUUGUUUAAAUAAAAGCAACGUCUUUAUAGAUCUUAUAAUGUAUGAGUUGUGAAGUUCAGUGUAGGUAGUUAGAGACAUGAGCUGAAGGCUGAAUUUUCUGGGCUCCUGGGAAUUCAUGCACACACUCAUUGUGUCUACUUCUAGAAAUGCAUCUUUAUGUACAACUUCUUCCCUAUUUUGCUAUUGUCUGUCUUGGAAGAGGUCCCCCUGUAGACUAUAUAGAAAAUGAGCAGUGGAGGAGAAUCUACUGCUAGCAUUUGUUAUACAUUUUAUACAAGUGUAUAAAACUGUACAGUAUAUUAUUCAGUUUAACACUGUAAAUAGUAUAUCAACAACUACUCUACAGCCAAUGUUAUGCUGGAUGUGAGAGUUCUGAGCUUCAGGAAAAAAAAUCAGGAACCACUCUCUGUAAUGGGCUUUUAUGGGUCUCUGUAUCAAACUCUGAACACUUAUUAUUUGCUGGAAGAGGAGGAGGAAUUUGGAUAUUCCAGAGAAGGAGAAGCUUAGAGCAAAAGCAGAGGAAAUGAGAUGAUAUUCAUGGUGACAACAAUGUUUAUUCUUUCCACUAUAUCUUGGCGUGUUUCUGAGUGUGCACACAGACCUGGUUAUUCUAUUGAUUUUUGAGUGACCAUGGCCCCUGUUCUGGCCCUUCUCCAUCUAGAACCGCCGCUGGCACUGGAGCAGUGGAUCCCUGGUCUCCUACAAGUCCUGGGACACUGGAGCCC
This 1252-nucleotide small RNA is filed under the name Pongo abelii (Sumatran orangutan). Its description in RNAcentral is "retained intron". The record is from RNAcentral. Lineage: Eukaryota; Metazoa; Chordata; Mammalia; Primates; Hominidae.